This 331-nucleotide ribosomal RNA is filed under the name uncultured eukaryote. Its description in RNAcentral is "partial 18S ribosomal RNA". It matches the Rfam family "Eukaryotic small subunit ribosomal RNA", at positions 1470 to 1796 of the family's 1831-position model. The record is from RNAcentral.
CCCUUAGAUGUUCUGGGCCGCACGCGCGCUACACUGUUCGACGCAGCGAGUCUUAACCUUGACCGAAAGGUUUGGGUAAUCUUCAGCAAAGUCGAACGUGAUGGGGAUCGAUCAUUGCAAUUAUUGAUCGUGAACGAGGAAUUCCUAGUAAGUGCAAGUCAUCAGCUUGCGCUGAUUACGUCCCUGCCCUUUGUACACAUCGCCCGUCGCUACUACCGAUUGAAUGGUUUAGUGAGAUCUCUGGAUUGACGCUGGCUAGGGGGCGACCCUUGGCCAGGCUGUCGAGAAACUGCUCAAACUUGAUCAUUUAGAGGAAGUAAAAGUCGUAACA